Molecule: long non-coding RNA, 1317 nt
Filed under: Zostera marina
Lineage: Eukaryota; Viridiplantae; Streptophyta; Magnoliopsida; Alismatales; Zosteraceae
Description: long non-coding RNA (ZMAR_LNC004914)
Source: RNAcentral
AAUCUAUGUUAUAUAACUGGGUCAAAAGAUGCCUCUGUCCACAUGGUGAAUGUUUCAACAGGAAAGGUAAAAAUUCUAUCUAAAAUAUUAUACAUAUUACGUACAUGAUUUUAAACAAUUAUAAAUAAAGCUAUUUGUAUUUACAUAAAAAGAUCUAAUCGAUAUUUUCCAAAAAAAUAGAUAUCAACGAACAAAUUAUUUUUUGUGGAAAGGUUUCCUUGUUUUUAUAUUUUGUAGUUAUUUGAUUAUAUUAUCCAAUCAAAUCGAUUUUGCAUCAGCAUAUCAGCCUGACACAUCUAUAAGGAGAGUAAUGCACAAUAAAUCUAUAAUUUUUGAGGAAUAAGAAGAACAGGAAUGCAACACAGUUUGCGGAUAGGAUCCCUAACCUAACAUAUUUUAAGGAAACUAUGUUCCAUAGGGAAGCACUAAUCCUAACCCCUUAUUGACCAAGGGCUUGAACUCUAAUGAGUUCUCCUCUGUCCAUCUUUAUCUUUACUCUAAAUUAGUCAAUAAUUUGGUUGAGUGAAAAAUGUAAUAAGAUCCACACCAUGGAGAAACACACCAUGUAAUACUCUAAAGACAUGUUUUAGAUGCAAUCAUCGAAUGCAUCUUUCACCUUCAUUAUAGUCAAUAUUUGAAAACCAAACAAACUUCAUCAUUUCCAACAUUAUUUAAACCAUGCUAAUUAUGCCAACAUUAUUUUAACCUUACUAAUUGUGCCAUCAUUUAUAUUUAAUUAAAUCAAUUUCUAUAUGAUUCACCAAUCUGGAAAAUUCCAGUCAUUAUUGGGCAGCUACAGGGAGUGAGGAUAAAAAACUCAUUAUUUGGGAUCUCCAACAUCAUUCGCCUCGCCACAUAUGUAACCAUGAGGUUAGUUCAUAUAGGGCGAUCAUACUCAACUUAUGUUUUCUUUUAAGUAUAAUACGCUACUAUGUUCUCUGUUCAAAAUCAAUGAACACGUCAAUGGAAUGGAAUGGAAUAUAAUUUUGUGUGAUACUCUGACUGAGCACCUAGAUAUAGGGAUAUAAUUUUGUGUGAUAAUUGACAGGAAGAAUAGAUAAUUGCUAUUUGAAGAAAAGAUAAACGGAAUGAAAUGGACUGUAGGUGAUGAACUUACCUAGAAGUUGGACUGGAGGCCGCUCGCCGGACAGGAAGCCGCUCGCCGGACAGGAAGAUCGCGCGCCGCUUGCCAGACAGGAAGAUCGUUGGACUGGAGGUGAUGAAGGAUUUGGGGAAAUAAGGAUUUGGGGGUGAUGAAGGUGAUGAAGGAUUUGGGGAAAUAAGGAUUUGGGGUAUUAACACGAUUUGGGGGUUUUU